Molecule: ribosomal RNA, 253 nt
Filed under: uncultured bacterium
Lineage: Bacteria
Description: partial 16S ribosomal RNA
Rfam family: Bacterial small subunit ribosomal RNA
Source: RNAcentral
UACGUAGGGGGCAAGCGUUGUCCGGAUUCAUUGGGCGUAAAGAGCGUGUAGGCGGCCCGGUAGGUCGGUUGUGAAAACUGGAGGCUCAACCUUCAGACGUCGACCGAAACCAUCUGGCUAGAGUCCGGGAGAGGAGAGUGGAAUUCCUGGUGUAGCGGUGAAAUGCGCAGAUAUCAGGAAGAACACCCGUGGCGAAAGCGGCUCUCUGGAACGGUACUGACGCUGAGACGCGAAAGCGUGGGGAGCGAACAGG